This 253-nucleotide ribosomal RNA is filed under the name uncultured bacterium. RNAcentral's name for it is "partial 16S ribosomal RNA". It matches the Rfam family "Bacterial small subunit ribosomal RNA", at positions 524 to 776 of the family's 1533-position model. The record is from RNAcentral.
UACGUAGGGGGCAAGCGUUGUCCGGAAUCAUUGGGCGUAAAGAGCGUGUAGGCGGUUCGGUAAGUCGGCUGUGAAAGUCCAGGGCUCAACCCUGGGAUGCCGGUCGAUACUGCCGGACUAGAGUUCGGAAGAGGCAAGUGGAAUUCCCGGUGUAGCGGUGAAAUGCGCAGAUAUCGGGAGGAACACCUAUGGCGAAGGCAGCUCGCUGGGACGUUACUGACGCUGAGACGCGAAAGCGUGGGGAGCAAACAGG